RNAcentral lists this long non-coding RNA (946 nucleotides) under Anolis carolinensis (green anole). RNAcentral's name for it is "lncRNA (ENSACAG00000043024.1)". The record is from RNAcentral. Lineage: Eukaryota; Metazoa; Chordata; Lepidosauria; Squamata; Anolidae.
CAAAGGAGAGGAGCCUCUUCUCGCCGGGUCCUGCAGCAGGGUCUUCCUUGGCUCCAAAGAAGAAAGGAGGGAGAAAGGAGGAGGAUUCAGGGAGGAAAAGGAAGGAAGGAAGGAAGGAAGGAAGGAAGGAAGGAAGGAAGGAAGGAAGGAAGGAAGGAGGGAGAAGCCCAAGUCGGGGGAACCAGGCUCCCUUUCUCUCCCGGUCUCUGAGUCUUUACAAUCCGGGCGAGUCGCAGGGCAGGAAUCCGCCGUGAAUCAUGGUCACCUUUGCGCCAAAGGACAGAAGAGAAGGAGGAGGAGGAGGAAGAGGGGCAGGGUCCACGCUCCUCUCUCCCGCAAAGUUCCCCUUGGCCAACUUCCCUCCUCCCCAAAAUGAAGAGAGGGAAGAGGAGCCGGUGGGCUCUUGGCAAAGCCCUCCGACCCGCUCGCCGGCUUGGGGGAGACACUUUGAGCAGCCCUGAAGCACCCACCCACUCGGUUCAUGCGUGAAAAAGGAGGAGGAGGAGGAGGCAGCCGGGGCCACCCACCAAGGCGCCCUCCAAGGAGGAGGAGGAGGGAGAGGAGGAGGAAGCAGCCCAGCUUCGGAGAGGAGACGCAGCUCCAGGCAAGAUGGGCAUUAAUAACAGCCAAGCCUCCCAUUAGAUGCUGCCAGGAGGACGUGCAUCCCAGGGACCGGUGCCUGGAAACCCAUUUCAAAGCCAUGGGUGCCAUUUUCUGCCGCUGGUUUUGCUUUGCUCCCCUUACGAAAGCCAUGAAUUAGGAGCGGCACAAUUGCCGCUUGUGGCAAUGACAGACAAGACCCUUAUCUUGAAUUACUGUCCUGUGCCAAGGAAAACACCCAGACAAAAGAGGAUUUUGCUCCAUUUCUAAAGGAGCUGCUGUUUGCCUUCCGGUUUAGCAGCCUUUUGCUAUUAAAGCCCAACGUCUUUAGCCAUUGAAGGGCUUG